This is a long non-coding RNA of Gambusia affinis (western mosquitofish), 3322 nucleotides long. RefSeq lists it as uncharacterized. NCBI's taxonomy places the organism in Eukaryota, Metazoa, Chordata, Actinopteri, Cyprinodontiformes, Poeciliidae. The transcript has 3 exons. The record is from RefSeq and is a predicted model, not a curated record.
CAAACGUUCAUGAUGAAGCUGGUUGUGGUUCUGCUGAAAAACUGAUUCCUUAUUUGGCAGCAAAUGUCAAGGUCACGACUCCCUGGUCUCCCGCCUCGGUUUUCUAACAAAAGAUUUUUGAAGCGAUUUUACAACCUCUGCUGUGCUGGCGACGGGACUGUGCUGCAGUAAAGUUUUAUCUUGUGGCAACAGGUUUUUAUCACAAGAACCGGCAAGGACGAAAUCAGUGCACCACGUCUGUCUGAGUGGAGAUGUUUCUGCUUACCUCAUGCGAAGCAAACAUCCUGUUGGACUAUUUAUCACAGAGGCAGAGCAGGAAAGUCUCUGGUAAAUCCCUUGGUGUUAGACGCUAACCGUUAAUGUAUUUUUACAUCAGCUACGAACAGAAUAACACUCCAUUAUUUAUGUGCUUCCCCACAACAUCAUCUCACCAGACUGCUCUUUAUGAAGAUGAAGAGGAUGGAUCAUUGAGGUGUUCGCCAUUAAACUGUAACAAUAAAUGUAUGAAAUAAAAGAUGGCCGCCAGUCAACUUCCAGUCAGACUGGAAGUUGAGGUUUUAGCUCUGUCGUCUUUCCAUCUGGUCAUCUGUCAUCCUUUACUCCAGUGUCACAAUAAACUGAGCAACACUGCACCGAGGAAAAAAAAUAAAUAAAAAAAAUUAAAAAAAUAAAAGCGAGAAUCGAAUAAAAAAAACAAAAAAAAGUGAGAAACCCAGAGAGCACAGCCUUAUUGCGGUUUAGAUGAAAUCAGUUUCUCCCGCGGCGCCGUAGCACCUUUUGUAGCUUCAUCAGAGUCCUGACACAUCCUGACACCUUAACAAAGUGCUUCUGAGCCGAGUCUGUGUUUGGGUUUAGGCGAAGCACCCAGACAAAUGUAGGUUAAAAUGUAAAACGGUGUGUGAAUAUAAUCCGAGAGCCGGUGUCACGGCAGUGACAGCCCCGGUUUAUUGGAGGCGUCAGGCCGUCCCUCUCGCUGCUACUGUUGCAUCCACUGCACACGGCCCAGCUCAGCGCUGGGAGUUAAGCUGCUCUGUAGUUCUCCGUGUCACUUUUCUAAACACUUUUUCUGUGCUUAUGUCGAAAGAAGCUCCCAUGAAUUGAUGUUGACACGUUUUGCUGGACGUCACCGACAAACUCAUUAUGCAGAAGCAACGUAGAACUCCACCAGAAACUGCUGAGCCUGCGCUUCUGCGGCUCAGCGCGAAGUUCUGGAGUAGUGUUUGUUGUGGUGUCUGCUGUAUUCUUGACUAACAGAGACAGUUCAAUAAAGUUUUGGCAUAACUCAGCUGUUGCAGCUCUGAGAACUUCCUCUAAGUACUUACUGGGCCUGUAAGUGCUUAGUGCAAAUAUUUCACAAACACGAAGAUAGAAGCAAAAAGCACCACAAAUGUAGCUCCUCUUCUGAAGGGAUUACUCAGUUUUUCAGUUUUCUAUAACAACCUGCUCCUUUGCAAAAACCUAGUGUCAGGUUAUAUAACAUAAUACUGUAAAGCCCCACUGCUUAAACACAACUGCUGCACACCAUAGUCAUAAAAAUAAAAGAGUGCUUCUAACUAAAGGCAGUUGAUUUAUUGAUAGUCAUUAGUUUGGCCACCGCUAUGAAAGCAAAGACUGCUGCUCUGGAAAAUACAGGUGUGUGUGUUAGCCCAGUGCCAAGGAGAAAAACACGUUAGGAAUGACCUAUUGCUAUGCGAAGGCCAUAGCAAAACAAUUUGUAGUCCGUCAUUUUGCUGGGAGAGAAGAUUAUUAACAAGUGGAACAUGUUUAGGAGAGCUGGGGGUCUGGUAGCGUCCCCUUCAGGUUAGAGAGGAACUCCAAAUUCCCCAUCAGCUACAGUUCAGAUUCUACAGAUUCUACAGGCUUCAGUUAGCAUGUUACAUGUUAUAUACCAUGGUAAUACACAGAGGACACUUGGCUUUAAUGCUAGAGUUGUCAGACAAAUUCCCCCUUAAUGCGCCGGGACACGUCAGGACAAUCUGGAAUAACGUCCUUCCCACAAGUAGAGUUUAGAUCUACUACCUAACGAGCCUGGUCAGGCCAAAGUGAUAUGCUUGGUGGUCGGGUCAGGCUCUGAUAGCGAAAAAAAAACAACAAAAAAAACUAAAUGAGAAUGCAUAAUAUAAAGAUGUUAAUUUACUUAAUCUAGUCUAAAUAGAGGAAGAGGUAGUUCACCCUGGUGGGGAAAAAAAAUAAAGCAAGUUGCAGAUGUUAGACUGUAAUAAACUAACUAACCUUUCAAAGUCAGAAUGUUUAUUUUAAAAAAGGAAAGACAGAUAUUUCAAUUUCUUGUCAUGAGUCCACUGCAGUCUGACUUCUGUAUUUAGAUGUUGCUCGUCUCUCAUUCUACAAGAUGUUUAUUCUCACUUUGAAAGUAAGAAAAAAUGCUCAAACUCACUAAAACUUGACUCUGCUGCUACCGAGUAAUCAGUGUAAGUUUUCCUUGCACAUAAUGAAUAUCAUACAUUAGUUAAACAGCUGAAUGGCGUCCAUGGUUUUGUUUCUAAAAUUCUCUUCAUGUGAUUGUUUGAGCGUUUUCACGCUACAUUUAAAAGAACACUGACUGAACACCCACCACCACAAGCCGCAUUGUGAACGAAGAGAGAGUAAAAGUGACCCGAAUACGUCCGCUCUGGAAACGGGAGGCAGAGGAAUGAAGCUAAAUCUCUUUGUGGCGCUAAAUUGGCUGUGAGGACCAGCACUUUAGCAUCCUGUGGUAUUUUCAGAGAAUCACGCUUUAGCUGUUCAAAAGAGCAAAUCCCUCACGGCCUUCACCGCCCUCAGUGGGGGUCUCCCUCUAUUCUUCCUUUCUCUUCACUCUUUUCAUACCAAACCACCUCCUCUCUGUGUCUGGCGCUCGUUCGCUGCGUUGCCAGUCGUCUUAAAAGGUCACCCCCACCUGGCGCGGCGCGCGAAGCUAACUGUCAAAUCCCAUCUGUCUUUUAGUUUUACAUUGGUCGUCUGUGUGCACUGAGGUGAGACAAUACAAAUACAGUAGAGCACACUGUGAGGACGACAUGUGAACUGAUGAAUUUAGUUUGACUAAUGAACUAAACAAAAACCUUUAAAAUUAAUUUCAUGCCAUCUUCUUUUCUUUUCUUUUUUACUUUGAAGUGCAGGUUAAACUUUCCAAAUCAGCUUGUCUUGAUGGGGUUUUUUUAUAUAAUAUUAAGUGUAAUUAAGAGUAAGAAUAUCUUAUAAUAAAAACACAAACUUGUCAUUUUAGUUUCAUUCAUUUUUAUACUUUGGUACUGCAAAUUGAAUGAAAUGGAAUAAAGUGGAAAAAGAUCAUUUUUUAUGUCAACUUUUACUUAGUUGAGGACAG